Long non-coding RNA from Falco peregrinus (peregrine falcon), 968 nucleotides. RefSeq lists it as uncharacterized. NCBI's taxonomy places the organism in Eukaryota, Metazoa, Chordata, Aves, Falconiformes, Falconidae. The record is from RefSeq and is a predicted model, not a curated record. The transcript has 3 exons.
GCUUUGGCAACUAGAUGCAGUGCUAGGCUUCACUCUGCAAGGUGUUUAAAAAGAAAAACAGGUUUACCCAGGAUUUAUCAUGGAGCGGAAUAAGAGUGCCUCUCUCUCUAGAUGGGAACUUUGCUUCAUGGGACAUUACAACUGUAUGCCUUAAGGCAGAAAAACGCAUAAAGGUAUCUGGGAAAGUAAAUUGCCAGAAGCGAAGAGCACCCUUCCUUUCAAAAUCCUGUAAGUACUCCUCUCUCCUACAUCAAACUGAUCCUAUGUAGAGCAGCGCUGGCUGGUUUGAGAUUCCCUGGCUUUUGCAAACAUCUGUCAUUUCAACGCACACACGAGGGUGCGUGCGCCUGUGUAACAUGUUGUGUGCGGACUCGACUAUCACCGGUUGUUAAUGAAACUGAAGAUUAUAGGGGGAAAUACGAAAGCCUCGAUGCAAUAGCUGUUGUUUGGGUUUUUUUUUUAUUAUUUCUUUUUCCUAAUAAGAAUAUUAAAUCCCGUGGGGAAAAGGAUCCUAGAGGUUUGCGGUGAGGAGUAAAGCCAACGCAACGUGAGCAGAGAACUGUAGAUCUGCACCACGCUGAAGCAGCCCAGAAUAAAAGUUUCGCGUACUGUACAUUUGGGGUCUUUCUAGCUAUUCUGCCAGUAGCUUCCUCUAUUCUUUCGUGAGCCCAGCACAUCAGCAUCGCGGACUCCUCGCGCACAAUCAAUACAUUUUGCAUAACACGAGUCUCUCCCGCACGCUCUCUCCUCUUGCUCUCCCUGUUUUUGUUUGCCUCUCGUAGGCGGACGGGGUUUCUACAAGGGGGUUUUCUUUAAAGAAAUCAGCGCCGGCCAUGUAGAGUCUCAAAAGCAAGCCGCCGCGCCGUAGCUGCUGCUAGUCACUGCUUCCUCGGGUCAGAAAUUUCGCUGGAGCUCACCAAAGCAACCUUCCGAGCCUGCGGUUCGGUUUCAGACAGACACAGCUUGCC